GUCCCUAUCGGCUAGUGGCCCAGGACGUCGCAAUUUCCGAUCCUAAGCGAUCUCAAAGCGGAAACCGGGGUUCGAAUCCCCGUGGGGAGG
RNAcentral lists this transfer RNA (90 nucleotides) under Deltaproteobacteria bacterium. RNAcentral's name for it is "tRNA-OTHER". The record is from RNAcentral. Lineage: Bacteria; Pseudomonadati; Myxococcota; Myxococcia.